RNAcentral lists this ribosomal RNA (501 nucleotides) under uncultured soil bacterium. Its description in RNAcentral is "bacterial SSU rRNA". It matches the Rfam family "Bacterial small subunit ribosomal RNA", at positions 26 to 519 of the family's 1533-position model. The record is from RNAcentral.
AGAUUGAACGCUGGCGGCAGGCCUAACACAUGCAAGUCGAGCGGUAGAGAGGUGCUUGCAUCUCUUGAGAGCGGCGGACGGGUGAGUAAUGCCUAGGAAUCUGCCUAGUGGUGGGGGAUAACGUUCGGAAACGGACGCUAAUACCGCAUACGUCCUACGGGAGAAAGCGGGGGACCUUCGGGCCUCGCGCCAUUAGAUGAGCCUAGGUCGGAUUAGCUAGUUGGUGAGGUAAUGGCUCACCAAGGCGACGAUCCGUAACUGGUCUGAGAGGAUGAUCAGUCACACUGGAACUGAGACACGGUCCAGACUCCUACGGGAGGCAGCAGUGGGGAAUAUUGGACAAUGGGCGAAAGCCUGAUCCAGCCAUGCCGCGUGUGUGAAGAAGGUCUUCGGAUUGUAAAGCAACUUUAAGUUGGGAAGGAAGGGUUAGUAACCUAAUACGUUGCAACUUUGACGUUACCGACAGAAUAAGCACCGGCUAACUUCGUGCCAGCAGCCGUA